AGUGGCGGACGGGUGAGUAACGCGUGAGUAACCUGCCUAUCAGUGGGGAAUAACGUUUGGAAACGAACGCUAAUACCGCAUAAUGCAUAGAGACCGCAUGAUUUUUAUGCCAAAGAUUUAUUGCUGAUAGAUGGACUCGCGUCCGAUUAGAUAGUUGGCGGGGCAACGGCCCACCAAGUCUGCGAUCGGUAGCCGGACUGAGAGGUUGAACGGCCACAUUGGAACUGAGAAACGGUCCAGACUCCUACGGGAGGCAGCAGUGGGGAAUAUUGGACAAUGGGGGAACCCUGAUGCAGCAACGCCACGUGUGGGAAGAAGCAUUUCGGUGUGUAAACCACUGUCGUGAGGGAAUAAUGCUUGAUUUCGGUCAAGUUGAAUGUACCUCAAAAGGAAGCACCGGCAAACUUCGUGCCAGCAGCCGCGGUAAUACGAGGGGUGCAAGCGUUGUUCGGAUUUAUUGGGUUUAAAGGGUGCGUAGGCGGGCUGGUAAGUCAGCGGUGAAACGCAGGUGCUCAACACCUGACCUGCCGUUGAAACUGCCGGUCUUGAAUGCGGAUGCUGUGGGAGGAAUGUGUGGUGUAGCGGUGAAAUGCAUAGAUAUCACACAGAACACCGAUUGCGAAGGCAUCUCACAAAUCCGUAAUUGACGCUGAGGCACGAAAGUGCGGGGAUCGAACAGGAUUAGAUACCCUGGUAGUCCGCACAGUAAACGAUGAUAACUCGCUGUCGGCGAUAGACGGUCGGCGGGCCAAGCGAAAGCGAUAAGUUAUCCACCUGGGGAGUACGACCGCAAGGUUGAAACUCAAAGGAAUUGACGGGGGCCCGCACAAGCGGAGGAACAUGUGGUUUAAUUCGAUGAUACGCGAGGAACCUUACCCGGGCUCGAACGGCAGAUGAAGAGAUCCAGAGAUGGUGACGCCCUUCGGGGCAUCUGUCGAGGUGCUGCAUGGUUGUCGUCAGCUCGUGCCGUGAGGUGUCGGCUUAAGUGCCAUAACGAGCGCAACCCUUGUUGCCAGUUACCAUCAAGUAAAGUUGGGGACUCUGGCGAGACUGCCACCGUAAGGUGAGAGGAAGGGGGGGAUGACGUCAAAUCAGCACGGCCCUUACGUCCGGGGCGACACACGUGUUACAAUGGUGAGUACAGAGGGCAGCUACACAGCGAUGUGGUGCAAAUCUCGAAAACUCAUCUCAGUUCGGAUCGGAGUCUGCAACUCGACUCCGUGAAGUUGGAUUCGCUAGUAAUCGCGCAUCAGCCAUGGCGCGGUGAAUACGUUCCCGGGCCUUGCACUCACCGCCGGUCAA
Molecule: ribosomal RNA, 1302 nt
Filed under: uncultured bacterium
Lineage: Bacteria
Description: bacterial SSU rRNA
Rfam family: Bacterial small subunit ribosomal RNA
Source: RNAcentral